GAUGAACGCUGGCGGCGUGCCUAAUACAUGCAAGUCGAGCGAACGGACGAGAAGCUUGCUUCUCUGAUGUUAGCGGCGGACGGGUGAGUAACACGUGGAUAACCUACCUAUAAGACUGGGAUAACUUCGGGAAACCGGAGCUAAUACCGGAUAAUAUUUUGAACCGCAUGGUUCAAAAGUGAAAGACGGUCUUGCUGUCACUUAUAGAUGGAUCCGCGCUGCAUUAGCUAGUUGGUAAGGUAACGGCUUACCAAGGCAACGAUGCAUAGCCGACCUGAGAGGCUGAUCGGCCACACUGGAACUGAGACACGGUCCAGACUCCUACGGGAGGCAGCAGUAGGGAAUCUUCCGCAAUGGGCGAAAGCCUGACGGAGCAACGCCGCGUGAGUGAUGAAGGUCUUCGGAUCGUAAAACCCUGUUAUUAGGGAGGAACAUAUGUGUAAGUAACUGUGCACAUCUUGACGGUACCUAAUCAGAAAGCCCCGGCUAACUACGUG
RNAcentral lists this ribosomal RNA (497 nucleotides) under uncultured bacterium. Its description in RNAcentral is "partial 16S ribosomal RNA". It matches the Rfam family "Bacterial small subunit ribosomal RNA", at positions 28 to 507 of the family's 1533-position model. The record is from RNAcentral.